RNAcentral lists this transfer RNA (87 nucleotides) under marine bacterium B5-7. RNAcentral's name for it is "tRNA-Leu". It matches the Rfam family "tRNA". From Rfam's summary of the family: Transfer RNA (tRNA) molecules are approximately 80 nucleotides in length. Their secondary structure includes four short double-helical elements and three loops (D, anti-codon, and T loops). Further hydrogen bonds mediate the characteristic L-shaped molecular structure. tRNAs have two regions of fundamental functional importance: the anti-codon, which is responsible for specific mRNA codon recognition, and the 3' end, to which the tRNAs corresponding amino acid is attached (by aminoacyl-tRNA synthetases). tRNAs cope with the degeneracy of the genetic code in two manners: having more than one tRNA (with a specific anti-codon) for a particular amino acid; and 'wobble' base-pairing, i.e. permitting non-standard base-pairing at the 3rd anti-codon position. The record is from RNAcentral. Lineage: Bacteria; Pseudomonadati; Pseudomonadota; Gammaproteobacteria. RNAcentral also lists the same sequence under 1 other name.
GCCCGGGUGGCGGAAUUGGUAGACGCAAGGGACUUAAAAUCCCUCGUCCUUACGGACGUGCCGGUUCGAUUCCGGCCCCGGGCACCA